RNAcentral lists this long non-coding RNA (1223 nucleotides) under Olea europaea (common olive). RNAcentral's name for it is "long non-coding RNA (OEUR_LNC011460)". Lineage: Eukaryota; Viridiplantae; Streptophyta; Magnoliopsida; Lamiales; Oleaceae. The record is from RNAcentral.
AGCAAUAAAAUUCCUUCUAGAGUUCCUUUUGACAAUGGAAUGAAAGAACUUUGUACAUUUGUCACUUUGCUUAAGGAAGAUGCAUUUAGCCUUUUGAUAAUAAAAGCUCCUCUCCGCUUCACACAAGCCAACAGUUUUUUUCCUCAAAUUUUGAACCAAAAGCUGAAAUUCCAGAUUAGCGGGCUGAUUUUCAAGCUGAAUUUGGGCAGCCUCCAAAUCAGAUUUCGCCUCAUUGGCCCUCCUCGAAAUGUGACCAAAUUGUUUAGAAUUUAGCUCCUUAAGAGCAACCUUAAGUUUCCUCAACUUCUUGCAAAGAACAAAUUGUUUAGUCCCCCGAACAUUUACACGCCAAGAAGAUUGCACAAUAUCAAGAAAAUCUUCAUGCAUAGUCCACAUGUUAAAAAACUUGAAUGGCUUCUUACCGCUACCAACACAAUCAUCAAUGGAAACAAUACAAGGUGAAUGAUCGGAAAGACAACCGGAUGGAAGAAAAUUUGCACCAAUAUGUGGCCCAUUUUGCACCCAAAUAUCAUUGAUCAUAGCCCUAUCAAUUUUGCUCCAAACCGAGCCAUUGGUCCAUGUGAGGAAGCAACCAAUAGACCGUACAUCCGUUAGUCCCACUUGAAGGCAACAAUUUGCAAGAUCUUUGAUUUCAUAAGGGGUGACAUCCGCCCCAUUACUUUUCUCAUCAAAUUUUAGAACGUUGUUGAAAUCCCCCAAAAUCAUCCAAGGCAAUGCAACAAUUCUGUUGUGAUCCAUGAUGUUUUCCCAAAGAGGCCUUCUAGAAACCAAAGUGUGGAAGCCAUAAACAAAACUAACAAGGAAGGUGAAGGAAGUUACCUUGCAAGUAGCUUUAUAAUGUAUGACUUAUGGAUGAACCUCCGUCACAUCCAAAGACACUUUGGAUGGAUUCCACAAGAUCAAGAUACGAGCACCCCCAUGUGUGCCAAAGUUGUUUGCAUGCAAGAAACUGCCAAAUUUAAGCUGCAAAAUUCUAUUCAAUCUCCUAUCAACCAACUUCGUCUCCAAGAUGCCCAUAAUAUCAAUACCGUGGAGUUUGAUAAACUCUCGAAUCCCAUUUUGUUUAAGGGGAGGAUUCAUACCCCUUAUAUUCCAAAAUGCGAUCCUCAUGAUGAUGAAGCAAGGGGGACACCCUUCUUCUUACUAAUUUUAGAAGCCGGAUUACUUACUUCAAUGGCCUUUGCUUUGAGCUUAUCAUUUCC